RNAcentral lists this transfer RNA (85 nucleotides) under Nonlabens xylanidelens. RNAcentral's name for it is "tRNA-Leu". It matches the Rfam family "tRNA". From Rfam's summary of the family: Transfer RNA (tRNA) molecules are approximately 80 nucleotides in length. RNAcentral also lists the same sequence under 1 other name. Lineage: Bacteria; Pseudomonadati; Bacteroidota; Flavobacteriia; Flavobacteriales; Flavobacteriaceae. The record is from RNAcentral.
GCGGAUGUGAUGGAACUGGUAGACAUGCUAGACUUAGGAUCUAGUGCUUCACGGCGUGCAGGUUCGAUUCCUGUCAUCCGCACAA